AUCAAAAACAAAAUUAAAAACAAAAAACAUUAAGAAAAAGGGUGUAAAACAAACACUAACAGCUUCAAUUCCUCAACCUGCGUUCUUCAUCCUUCACUCCAUUUUUUUUAUUUUUUUUUUUUUUUUUUUUUGGGAAAGCCAGUUCUUUACUCCAUCCUCUAUUCUCUACCAAUUUCAAGCUUUUAACCCAACUACUCUCUUCUAGACUCAAGUGGGAAAUCUCAAAUUCUCAGUUGAAUCAUGGGGCAGCCUCAAAUGGUUAGAGGUGGCGAGGCUGGUGCACCUACACCAUAGAGAUAAAUGACCAACAAUGCCCUAGCUUACCUGAAGGCAGUGAAGAAAUUGUUCCCGAAGAAGGAGAAAUAUGAUGAAUUCAUCAGGUUAUUAUGAGGCAAUAAGCUGGAACAUUGGUAUUUUAGUUCAGCCUAAGAUGCAGUUCUAUAUGUUUCAAAAUUCUGUAGCUUAUCAAUUCUAAACAUCAGUUCUGAUUGUCCGCUCUGAAAUCAGAUCUGAAUUAUAGUUCUGAAAUUCAUUUCAAGAUAUCAGUUCUGUUUUUUAGUUGUGAAAUCAGUACUAAAUUUCAGUUCUGAAAUCAGUUUUGAAAUUCAGCUCUGAAAUAAGUCCUGAUAAUUAUUUCUAAUUUAGUUCUGAGACGGUGUUCUGAAAUCAGUUGAGAGAUUGUGAUCUGAAAUUAGUUCUGAAAUUCAGUUCUGAAUUUCAUGGUUGGUUCAUUUCAGGAGUGCUAUAUUGUUAGGUCUUUUAAGAAAACAAGUUGGUUUCUGCUAUAAUGGCUACUCAGAUGAGCAAGAACCGGAAGUUCGGUGCUGAUGGUGUCAUUUACGCUGAACUAAAUAAAGUUUUCAGGAGAGAACUCACUCAAGAUAGCUACUAUGGUGGCGAAGUGAGAAGGGAAGACGGAUUAAGGAAUCCUGUUUUUUGAAUAUGGAUGAGUGUGAUGUAGCAAACUUUAUAGCCAUUUGCUGGGCUAUUUAUGGUGCUAGGAAUUCUCAGAUCAUGGAGGGGGAGUGUAGGGACUAUGGGGAAGUGCUGAGCUAUGCUAUAAAGACUGGAAAUUCCAAGCCUGGUUUUUGCUGUGCUGCUGCUGUUAGUUCAGGGAAGGCUGCUGUCGAUUGGACAACAUAUGCAGGACUCUUAAAGGUUAAUGUUGAUGCUGCCUUUGUAGUGACUUUGGGUGUGGUUUGGGGUACUGAUCAGGGAUGGUUUUGGUGAAGUUAUGGCUACAGGGGUCUAGCAGGGCAGUGAGAAGUGGGACGUGAGGGUGGCUGAAGCAAAAGCCGUGUGAUGGGGGCUGUAGCUGGCUGCGAAUAUGGGUGCCCAAAAUUUAGUUGAGGGUGAUUGUUUGCAGGUCUUCCAAGCUUUGAAGAGCGAAGAGAUUGGCUAUAGUGAAUUUUCUUUAAUUUUAGGGGAUGUUUUGUUAUUUUGCACUAACUUUGUUAUUGUUUAGUGGCCUUUUGUGAAACGAGGUGGGAAUAGGGUUGCUCGUGAAUUGACCCGGUUUCAUCAUAGGGAAGUGGGUCAAUGAAUGUGGUUUGAUGUAAUUCCCUCUCGUAUUCUUGAUGUAGCUCUUCUUGAUAUAUCUAAUUAGCUCCCCUUUAUGGGUUUUAUAAAAAAAAAGGAAAAAAAAGAAAAAAAAAAGAGAAAAAGGAAUGGACCAUGUUUUAUUGACUUGAUAUAAAUCUGACCUGGAUUCUUAUUACUUUAAUUCUUCAUGUACAUGUAAGAGGUUAUGGAAGGAGAAUACAUUGAAGAAAAUGGGACCCAAGGAAGAUAUUAUCUCAACAUUAAUUAAGCUUUAAAAAUGCUAACAAAAAAAAAAAAACUUUUGGGUUACUAUUUGCACAUUAAAAUCGUAUCAUAUAAUAAGAAAAGGCUAUGUUUUUUUUAUAAAACCGUAGCAAUCAGGUAAAAAAUGCUAUGAUUUUUAAUUGUAGCAAAUACAUGUUCCUAUGUGUUACUCCUAGUUUUGCGGUUCAAAACCAGAGCAAAAGGCUUGAAUAAAACCGUAGCAAGUGUACUAGUGUAUUUUGCA
Chenopodium quinoa (quinoa) is the source of this 2050-nucleotide RNA transcript. RefSeq lists it as uncharacterized. The transcript has 3 exons. Lineage: Eukaryota; Viridiplantae; Streptophyta; Magnoliopsida; Caryophyllales; Amaranthaceae. The record is from RefSeq and is a predicted model, not a curated record.